CCAGGUAGAACUGGCCAAAGCAAGUUAUUCUCCUCUACCUGAAUUGCGCCACCAUUACUUUCAUUGGGGACAUCAUUUUGCACAAUUUGAUCAUUCUGCACAAAUUGUUCGUUCAGCUCAAAUUGCUCAUUCAGCUCAAAUUGCACAUUCUGCUGACCACCCAUUGAGACUGGUGAGCCGUAGCCAUCUGGAGCAUACUCUCCCACUUGAUCUGAAAAAAGGCGAAAAGGAUCGGAGUCGGACAUCACGAGUCAGGAAACAAUAGUCCCUUUACAGCUCUUAGAGUGAACAGAACACUGUAAUUGAGAAGAAAUGGAGACC
Molecule: unclassified non-coding RNA, 321 nt
Filed under: Hevea brasiliensis (rubber tree)
Lineage: Eukaryota; Viridiplantae; Streptophyta; Magnoliopsida; Malpighiales; Euphorbiaceae
Source: RNAcentral